This 492-nucleotide ribosomal RNA is filed under the name uncultured bacterium. RNAcentral's name for it is "partial 16S ribosomal RNA". It matches the Rfam family "Bacterial small subunit ribosomal RNA", at positions 29 to 507 of the family's 1533-position model. The record is from RNAcentral.
AGUGAACGCUGGCGGCAGGCCUAACACAUGCAAGUCGAACGGACGCACAGUAAGCGCUCGCCUUUGAGGGUGGCGGGUGGCGGACGGGUGAGGCAUACAUCGGAAUCUUAUUUUUCGUGGGGGACAUCGUAGGGAAAUAUAUGAUACUAGAGCAUACGACCUACGGGAGAAAGCAGGGGUUCAUCGGACCCUUCGUGUCUGAAUGAGCCGAAGCCGGACUAGAUAGUUGGGGGGGUAAAGGCCCACCAAGGCGACGAUACGUAGCUGAUCUGAGAGGAUGAUCGGCCACACUGGAACUGAGACACGGUCCAGACUCCUACGGGAGGCAGCAGUGGGGAAUAUUCGGCAAUGGGCGCAAGCCUGACCCAGCCAUACCGCGUGAGUGAUGAAGGCCUUCGGAUCGUAAAGCCCUGUUAUUAGGGAAGAAAAGAUGCGUAAGUAAAUGCCGCUGUUCUGACGGUACCUAAAGAAUAAGCACCGGCUAACUACGUG